This 473-nucleotide ribosomal RNA is filed under the name uncultured bacterium. RNAcentral describes it as "bacterial SSU rRNA". It matches the Rfam family "Bacterial small subunit ribosomal RNA", at positions 202 to 653 of the family's 1533-position model. The record is from RNAcentral.
CAAAGCUUGCCUCUACAUGUAAGCAAGCGCUACCGGAGGGGCCCGCGCCCCAUUAGCUUGUUGGUGAGGUAACGGCUCACCAAGGCCGCGAUGGGUAGCCGGCCUGAGAGGGCGAUCGGCCACACUGGAACUGAGACACGGUCCAGACUCCUACGGGAGGCAGCAGUGAGGAAUUUUGCGCAAUGGGCGAAAGCCUGACGCAGCGACGCCGCGUGGAGGAGGAAGGUCCUCGAAUCGUAAACUCCUGUCAAGUGGGAAGAAUCCUGGAAGGAUGAAUAAGCCUGCCAGUUGACGGUACCACUGGAGGAAGCCCCGGCUAACUCCGUGCCAGCAGCCGCGGUAAUACGGAGGGGGCUAGCGUUGUUCGGAAUUAUUGGGCGUAAAGGGCGCGUAGGCGGCCAGGCCAGUCAGUUGUGAAAUCCCUCGGCUCAACCGAGGAACUGCACCUGAUACUGCCAGGCUUGAGUCCCGGA